GUGCCAGCAGCCGCGGUAAGACAGAGGGUGCAAGCGUUGUUCGGAAUCAUUGGGCGUAAAGGGCGCGUAGGCGGCUUGUUAAGUCGAAUGUGAAAACCUGGGGCUCAACCCCAGACGUGCAUCCGAAACUGGCAGGCUUGAGUCCCGGAGAGGGUGGUGGAAUUCCCAGUGUAGAGGUGAAAUUCGUAGAUAUUGGGAGGAACACCGGUGGCGAAGGCGACCACCUGGACGGUGACUGACGCUGAGGCGCGAAAGCGUGGGUAGCAAACAGGAUUAGAUACCCGCGUAGUCC
Molecule: ribosomal RNA, 292 nt
Filed under: uncultured bacterium
Lineage: Bacteria
Description: partial 16S ribosomal RNA
Rfam family: Bacterial small subunit ribosomal RNA
Source: RNAcentral